This 478-nucleotide ribosomal RNA is filed under the name uncultured bacterium. RNAcentral's name for it is "partial 16S ribosomal RNA". It matches the Rfam family "Bacterial small subunit ribosomal RNA", at positions 28 to 523 of the family's 1533-position model. The record is from RNAcentral.
GACGAACGCUGGCGGCGUGCUUAACACAUGCAAGUCGAACGGUAAGGCCCUUCGGGGUACACGAGUGGCGAACGGGUGAGUAACACGUGGGUGAUCUGCCCUGCACUUCGGGAUAAGCCUGGGAAACUGGGUCUAAUACCGGAUAGGACUCCUGGCUUCAUGGUUGGGGGUGGAAAGCUUUUGCGUGGUGGGAUGGGCCCGCGGCCUAUCAGCUUGUUGGUGGGGUAAUGGCCUACCAAGGCGACGACGGGUAGCCGGCCUGAGAGGGUGAUCGGUCACACGGGGACUGAGAUAGUGCCCAGACUCCUACGGGAGGCAGCAGUGGGGAAUAUUGCACAAUGGGCGCAAGCCUGAUGCAGCGACGCCGCGUGAGGGAUGACGGCCUUCGGGUUGUAAACCUCUUUCAGCUAUGACGAAGCGCAAGUGACGGUAGUAGCAGAAGAAGGACCGGCCAACUACGUGCCAGCCGCCGCGGUAA